GGGCCCGUAGCUCAGCCUGGCAGAGCAUUGGUCUUAUACACCAAGCGCCGGCGGUUCAAAUCCGCCCGGGCCCA
This 74-nucleotide transfer RNA is filed under the name Candidatus Iainarchaeum sp. RNAcentral describes it as "tRNA-Ile". It matches the Rfam family "tRNA". From Rfam's summary of the family: Transfer RNA (tRNA) molecules are approximately 80 nucleotides in length. Their secondary structure includes four short double-helical elements and three loops (D, anti-codon, and T loops). Lineage: Archaea; Nanobdellati; Candidatus Iainarchaeota; Candidatus Iainarchaeia; Candidatus Iainarchaeales; Candidatus Iainarchaeaceae. The record is from RNAcentral.